This is a non-coding RNA of Paramuricea clavata, 238 nucleotides long. The record is from the annotation of a GenBank genome assembly. NCBI's taxonomy places the organism in Eukaryota, Metazoa, Cnidaria, Anthozoa, Malacalcyonacea, Plexauridae.
UCGUCUAUCAAUCCAGAUCAUGCAUUUCUAUUUCAAAUGUUAAAUUAAUCAAAUCCAAUUAUAUUCAUAUAGAAUGAGUCAAAUAGCACGGAUACUUCUGUAAUAACAGUUGGUAAGGGAAAACUGUCAUUCUUGUCGCGUUUCUUUCUGAAGUAUAUGUCGAAACAAAGCGCUGCAAAUUGUUCUUCAAUUGUGCGUGGAACAAAUUUACUACACAUAAUCACCCAUGACAUUUUAC